Molecule: transfer RNA, 88 nt
Filed under: Chitinophaga rupis
Lineage: Bacteria; Pseudomonadati; Bacteroidota; Chitinophagia; Chitinophagales; Chitinophagaceae
Description: tRNA_Pseudo_CGA
Rfam family: tRNA
About the family: Transfer RNA (tRNA) molecules are approximately 80 nucleotides in length.
Source: RNAcentral
GGAAGGUUGCCAGAGAUGGUAAUGGCGCAGUCCCGAAAACUGACGGCGGGUAACACCGGCACAGGUUCGAUCCCUGUACCUUCCUCGA